Molecule: ribosomal RNA, 445 nt
Filed under: uncultured bacterium
Lineage: Bacteria
Description: partial 16S ribosomal RNA
Rfam family: Bacterial small subunit ribosomal RNA
Source: RNAcentral
GUGAGGAAUAUUGCGCAAUGGAGGCAACUCUGACGCAGCCAUGCCGCGUGCAGGAAGAAGGCGCUACGCGUUGUAAACUGCUUUUAACCGGGAAGAAACCCCAGGACGUGUCCUGGGUUGACGGUACCGGAGGAAUAAGCACCGGCUAACUUCGUCCCAGCAGCCGCGGUAAUACGAAUGGUGCAAGCGUUAUCCGGAUUCAUUGGGUUUAAUGGGUGCGUAGGCGGAGCGUUAAGCCAGUGGUGAAAUCAUGCAUCUUAAAUGUAGACUUGCCAUUGAUACUGGCGCUCUUGAGUGCGCUUGAAGUGGGAGGAAUGUGCCGUGUAGCGGUGAAAUGCUUAGAUAUGGCACAGAACACCAAUUGCGAAGGCAGCUCACUAAGGCGAUACUGACGCUGAGGCACGAAAGCGUGGGGAUCGAACAGGAUUAGAAACCCGUGUAGUCC